GAUGAAGGCCUAACGGUUGUAAACUUCUUUUCUGAAGGAGCAUAAUGAGAGUACUUCAGGAAUAAGGGACGGCUAAAUACGUGCCAGCAGCCGCGGUAAUACGUAUGUCUCAAGCGUUACCCGGGAAUUACUGGGUGUAAAGGGUUCGUAGGUGGUUAGAAAAGUUGGAUAUGAAAGACCGGAGCUCAACUCCGUGUUGGUGUUCAAAACUGUUUAACUAGAAUCAGGGAGAGGUAAGUGGAAUUCUGUGUGUAGGGGUGCAAUCCGUAGAUACACAGAGGAACACCAAAAGCGAAGGCAACUUACUGGAACUGUAUUGACGCUCAUGAACGAAAGCGUGGGUAGCGAAAAGGAUUAGAUACCCUUGUAGUCCACGCCCUAAACGAUGAUAACUAAGUGUUGCGACUAGCUCGCAGUGCUGAAGCUAACGCGUUAAGUUAUCCACCUGAGGAGUACGGUCGCAAGAUUAAAACUCAAAGGAAUAGACGGGGACCCACACAAGCAGUGGAUCACGUGGUUUAAUUCGACAAUAAACGGGGAACCUUACCCAGACUUGACAUCCUAGGAAUCUUUCAGAGAUGAGAGAGUGCUUUUAUUAGAACCUAGUGACAGGUGCUGCAUGGUUGUCGUCAGCUCGUGCCUUGAGGUGUUCGGUUAAGUCCGUUAACGAGCGCAACCCAUGUCUUUAGUUAUUAUGUCUAAAGAGACUGCCUUGGUUAACAAGGAGGAAGGUGUGGAUGACGUCAAAUCAGCAUGGCUUUUACGUCUGGGGCUACACACAUGAUACAAUGGUAUGUACAAAGAGUAGCAAAAUAGUGAUAUUGAGCUAAUCUUAAAAGCAUAUCUCAGUCCGGAUUGGAGUCUGAAACUCGACUCCAUGAAGUUGGAAUUGCUAGUAAUCGUGAAUCAGAUAUGUCACGGUGAAUAUGUUCCUGGGUCUUGUACUCACCGCCCGUCAUGGCAUGGGAGGAAGUAAUAUUGGAAGCCCCUCUAGUAAUAUGAGGGUCCAUAGUAGGACUUCUGACUGGGCUAAAGUCGUAACAAGGUAUCCGUAGGAGAACCUGCGGAUG
This 1070-nucleotide ribosomal RNA is filed under the name hydrothermal vent metagenome. RNAcentral's name for it is "bacterial SSU rRNA". It matches the Rfam family "Bacterial small subunit ribosomal RNA", at positions 407 to 1520 of the family's 1533-position model. The record is from RNAcentral.